GAAAAAGAAAGGUGUUGUAAUUUUGUCUUAAACUAGAUCCGGAGAUAAGGGAAGUUCCUUGAUAAUGGACACGGUACCCGCCGCUGUGAUCGCUGACGACUGCAAUAUGCCACUGGAUUAAUUCCGGGAAGGAUUGUAGGAGGAGGAAGCGAGAGUCAGAAGACCUGUUCCGGAUAACAAAGCUUA
This 186-nucleotide non-coding RNA is filed under the name Desulfuromonas sp. The record is from RNAcentral. Lineage: Bacteria; Pseudomonadati; Thermodesulfobacteriota; Desulfuromonadia; Desulfuromonadales; Desulfuromonadaceae.